UAGCCUGCCUCGCAUACAUGGUGCGGCCCCGAUGAGGCCGCAGUGAAUCCGGUGAGAAUCCGGGACUGUUGCGCAGCGGUGACGGUGACGACGUCGGCAAGACCACUGGGAGUGAUCCUGGGAAGGGCCGACCGAGGGUGAUCCGAAGUCCGAAGACCCCAUGCAUGACUUGUGUCGU
Non-coding RNA from Cutibacterium granulosum DSM 20700, 178 nucleotides. The record is from Rfam. Lineage: Bacteria; Bacillati; Actinomycetota; Actinomycetes; Propionibacteriales; Propionibacteriaceae.